CCUACGGGAGGCAGCAGUGGGGAAUAUUGGACAAUGGGGGGAACCCUGAUCCAGCGACGCCGCGUGAGUGAAGAAGUAUUUCGGUAUGUAAAGCUCUAUCAGCAGGGAAGAAAGAAAUGACGGUACCUGACUAAGAAGCCUAGGCUAACUACGUGCAAGCAGCAGCGGGAAUACGUAGGGGGCAAGCGUUAUCAGGAUUUACUGGGUGUAAAGGGAGCGUAGACGGCGAUGCAAGUCCGAAGGGAAAGGCGGGGGCCCAACCCCCGGACUGCUUUGGAAACUGGAUGGCUUGAGUGCAGGAGAGGUAAGUGGAAUUCCUAGUGUAGCGGUGAAAUGCGUAGAUAUUAGGAGGAACACCAGUGGCGAAGGCGGCUUACUGGACUGUAACUGACGUUGAGGCUCGAAAGCGUGGGGAGCAAACAGGAUUAGAUACCCGAGUAGUC
RNAcentral lists this ribosomal RNA (443 nucleotides) under uncultured bacterium. RNAcentral describes it as "partial 16S ribosomal RNA". It matches the Rfam family "Bacterial small subunit ribosomal RNA", at positions 338 to 795 of the family's 1533-position model. The record is from RNAcentral.